This 466-nucleotide ribosomal RNA is filed under the name uncultured bacterium. RNAcentral describes it as "partial 16S ribosomal RNA". It matches the Rfam family "Bacterial small subunit ribosomal RNA", at positions 28 to 507 of the family's 1533-position model. The record is from RNAcentral.
GACGAACGCUGGCGGCGUGCUUAACACAUGCAAGUCGAACGGAAAGGCCCUGCUUGCGGGGUACUCGAGUGGCGAACGGGUGAGUAACACGUGGGUGAUCUGCCCUGCACUUCGGGAUAAGCUUGGGAAACUGGGUCUAAUACCGGAUAGGAGCCAUCUUUAGUGUGGUGGUUGGAAAGUUUUUUCGGUGUAGGAUGAGCUCGCGGCCUAUCAGCUUGUUGGUGGGGUAAUGGCCUACCAAGGCGGCGACGGGUAGCCGGCCUGAGAGGGUGUCCGGCCACAUUGGGACUGAGAUACGGCCCAGACUCCUACGGGAGGCAGCAGUGGGGAAUAUUGCACAAUGGGCGCAAGCCUGAUGCAGCGACGCCGCGUGGGGGAUGAAGGCCUUCGGGUUGUAAACUCCUUUCGCUAGGGACGAAGCUUUGUUGUGACGGUACCUAGAUAAGAAGCACCGGCUAACUACGUG